UGUGGAGAAGAAUCCCACAAGACAUCCCAUUAGAACAGAAUCCAUUGGAGAGGAGGGAUGAUCCAGUGGUCGAUGAAAGGUCUAGGCUGAGAGCUGGGAGUUCUACAGCAGCCCAAGACUAGUCAAGCGUGAUUUUAGACACCCUGAGUUUUGGCCCUCAGAUUUGAACACCUGACAAGAAUUCAUUUUGCCAGGCUGAAAUUGCUAACAGGUGGUGCCAGGUGACUCUAUUAAAACUGGCUUCUCAGAGGCAGUCAGAAACUUUGCAUCAUUUGCUUUCUGUGUGUCUGGUGGCAGAGACUAUGGAGGACCAAGUUGCAGAACUACUCGACACCCAAAAUUGUACCUAAACGGAAUGGGG
RNAcentral lists this long non-coding RNA (361 nucleotides) under Anser brachyrhynchus (Pink-footed goose). RNAcentral describes it as "lncRNA (ENSABRG00000011139.1)". The record is from RNAcentral. Lineage: Eukaryota; Metazoa; Chordata; Aves; Anseriformes; Anatidae.